UUUAUACAUUUCGUAAUGUCAAAAAAAUAGUCGAUACACUUUACCAAGCGACCGUGGUUGAACCACGGGAUCGAGGGGUGCCUAACACCUUCCCCUCGGUCAACAAAAUUUCUUAGCCGGAAUCUCUGUUCGCAAACCGGUUUAAGAGUCAAAUGGUUUCGAAAAGGAUUUUCCAAAGGUGACUUGGCACACCGGAUUAUGCCAAGUGGCGACUCUGAAUAAAAAAUGCAAAUAAUCUUUUUUUUCGAAACAAAUUUUCAUUUCUUGUCACUUAAAAUA
This 279-nucleotide long non-coding RNA is filed under the name Capsicum annuum. RNAcentral's name for it is "long non-coding RNA (CANN_LNC016750)". The record is from RNAcentral. Lineage: Eukaryota; Viridiplantae; Streptophyta; Magnoliopsida; Solanales; Solanaceae.